Molecule: ribosomal RNA, 435 nt
Filed under: uncultured bacterium
Lineage: Bacteria
Description: partial 16S ribosomal RNA
Rfam family: Bacterial small subunit ribosomal RNA
Source: RNAcentral
GAUGAACGCUGGCGGUAUGCUUAACACAUGCAAGUCGAACGGACUCUUCGGAGUUAGUGGCGGACGGGUGAGUAACGCGUGAGAAUCUGGCCUUGGGUUCGGGACAACCACUGGAAACGGUGGCUAAUACCGGAUGUGCCGAGAGGUAAAAGAGAAAUUGCCUGCAGAUGAGCUCGCGUCUGAUUAGCUAGUUGGUGAGGUAAAGGCUCACCAAGGCAGCGAUCAGUAGCUGGUCUGAGAGGAUGACCAGCCACACUGGGACUGAGACACGGCCCAGACUCCUACGGGAGGCAGCAGUGGAGAAUUAUCCGCAAUGGGCGAAAGACUGACGGAGCAAUACCGCGUGAGAGAAGAAGGCUCUUGGGUUGUAAACCUCUUUUCUUAGGGAAGAACAAAAUGACGGUACCUAAGGAAUCAGCAUCGGCUAACUCCGUG